Molecule: ribosomal RNA, 489 nt
Filed under: uncultured bacterium
Lineage: Bacteria
Description: bacterial SSU rRNA
Rfam family: Bacterial small subunit ribosomal RNA
Source: RNAcentral
ACGGGAGGCAGCAGUGGGGAAUAUUGAACAAUGGGGGCAACCCUGAUCCAGCGACGCGGCGUGAGGGAAGAAGGUUUUCGGAUUGUAAACUUCUGUUGACGGAGAAAAAAAUGAUGGUAUCCGUUUAGAAAGCCACGGCUAACUACGUGCCAGCAGCCGCGGUAAUACGUAGGUGGCAAGCGUUGUCCGGAAUUACUGGGUGUAAAGGGAGUGUAGGCGGGAUAUCAAGUCAGAAGUGAAAAUUACGGGCUCAACUCGUAACCUGCUUUUGAAACUGACAUUCUUGAGUGAAGUAGAGGCAAGCGGAAUUCCUAGUGUAGCGGUGAAAUGCGUAGAUAUUAGGAGGAACACCAGUGGCGAAGGCGGCUUGCUGGGCUUUUACUGACGCUGAGGCUCGAAAGCGUGGGGAGCAAACAGGAUUAGAUACCCUGGUAGUCCACGCCGUAAACGAUGAUUACUAGGUGUGGGGGGAUUGACCCCUUCCGUGCC